Molecule: ribosomal RNA, 253 nt
Filed under: uncultured bacterium
Lineage: Bacteria
Description: partial 16S ribosomal RNA
Rfam family: Bacterial small subunit ribosomal RNA
Source: RNAcentral
UACGGGGGGGGCAAGCGUUGUUCGGAAUUACUGGGCGUAAAGGGCGCGUAGGCGGCGUGACAAGUCAAUUGUGAAAUCUCCGGGCUUAACUCGGAACGGUCAAUUGAUACUGUUGUGCUAGAGUACAGAAGGGGCAAUCGGAAUUCUUGGUGUAGCGGUGAAAUGCGUAGAUAUCAAGAGGAACACCUGAGGUGAAGACGGGUUGCUGGGCUGAUACUGACGCUGAGGCGCGAAAGCGUGGGUAGCAAACAGG